AGGCUAUUUAGUCAACUUUGAUUGAAUGAAAAAGGCGAGCAAGAAUUAAGUCACAUUUUCCCUCUGUCAAAUUCUCCUUCUUUCUUGAGUUCUGCUAUACUCUAAAUAGCAACUUUCUGAGUCUUGUCACCUUCCCAUUGUUUGAUGAGUUUAUUGCAUUUUAUAGACUACAGCUUUACAUGUUUGAUCAAACUAUCUAAGGCAUAAAAAAACAAUAAUUUAGGAAGAAUCCUUGAUUCAUACAUUGUGUCACAUAUAUACCAAGCAAAGAGCAAAAAAAUUCCAGGUUCCUUCUCUUUUGAAAUCACAAACAGGUAUUAUGAAGUAAUGACAAUUCAUUGUAAUAUAAUAGACAGUGUCCAAACAGUGCGUACAAAACAAUGCAUACAAAACAUUAAGAAAGAAUGAAUGAUAAGAACACAAACUCUCAAGGAUCAACCAAUCCCCUUUGUCUAUUUCACAAAAACAACAUAAGUCAAGGCCAUUAAAAAAAAGAGCUUAUGUAACAUUGCAAGGGGUUCUAUAUCAUCCUUAAAAAAAACUCUAAAUUUUCUAAAAUCAAAUCCUAAUGAAUUGAAGAUAGUUCAAAAAGGUUUGUUAUGAUUUGUUCACUAUUUUCAUUGAAAUUUUGAUUUUUAAUUUUUUAUUAUGAUUUGUUCUCUUUCCUAUAAGCAUUUCAAUCAUUCCAACAAAAAAAAAAGAUAAAGUAAAACAAAAACCUUAUGAUGACACGUUCAUGGCAGGUUGACAACGGCGACGACCAG
This 764-nucleotide long non-coding RNA is filed under the name Medicago truncatula (barrel medic). RNAcentral describes it as "long non-coding RNA (MTRU_LNC008267)". The record is from RNAcentral. Lineage: Eukaryota; Viridiplantae; Streptophyta; Magnoliopsida; Fabales; Fabaceae.